This 654-nucleotide ribosomal RNA is filed under the name uncultured marine bacterium. Its description in RNAcentral is "bacterial SSU rRNA". It matches the Rfam family "Bacterial small subunit ribosomal RNA", at positions 815 to 1482 of the family's 1533-position model. The record is from RNAcentral.
ACUCGCUGUUGGCGAUAUACUGUCAGCGGCCAAGCGAAAGUAUUAAGUGAUGCACCUGGGGAGUACGCCGGCAACGGUGAAACUCAAAGGAAUUGACGGGGGCCCGCACAAGCGGUGGAGCAUGUGGUUUAAUUCGAUGAUACGCGAGGAACCUUACCAGGGCUUAAAUGUAGUAUGACCGGCUUAGAAAUAGGCCUUCUCUUCGGAGCAGAUUACAAGGUGCUGCAUGGUUGUCGUCAGCUCGUGCCGUGAGGUGUUAGGUUAAGUCCUGCAACGAGCGCAACCCCUAUUCUUAGUUGCCAGCGGUUCGGCCGGGGACUCUAAGAAGACUGCCAGCGCAAGCUGAGAGGAAGGUGGGGAUGACGUCAAAUCAUCACGGCCCUUACGUCCUGGGCUACACACGUGCUACAAUGGUAGAGACAGAGGGCAGCCACCUGGUGACAGGGAGCGAAUCCUUAAACUCUAUCUCAGUUCGGAUCGAAGUCCGCAACUCGACUUCGUGAAGCUGGAAUCGCUAGUAAUCGCGCAUCAGCCAUGGCGCGGUGAAUACGUUCCCGGGCCUUGUACACACCGCCCGUCAAGCCAUGGAAGCUGGGGGCACCUGAAGUCGGUAACCGUAAGGAGCCGCCUAGGGUGAAACUGGUAACUAGGGCU